UGAGGAAUAUUGCGCAAUGGGGGCAACCCUGACGCAGCAACGCCGCGUGAGUGAGGAAGGUUUUCGGACCGUAAAGCUCUGUCGAGCGGGAAGAAAUGCAUGGUGGCUAAUAUCCAUCAUGCUUGACGGUACCGCUAAAGGAAGCACCGGCUAACUCCGUGCCAGCAGCCGCGGUAAUACGGGGGGUGCGAGCGUUGUUCGGAAUUAUUGGGCGUAAAGAGCGUGUAGGCGGCUGAAUAAGUCAGAUGUGAAAUCCCUGGGCUUAACCAGGACGUGCAUUUGAAACCAUUCGGCUAGAGUAGGGGAGAGGAAAGUGGAAUUCCUGGUGUAGAGGUGAAAUUCGUAGAUAUCAGGAGGAACACCGGUGGCGAAGGCGACUUUCUGGCCCUAUACUGACGCUGAGACGCGAGAGCGUGGGUAGCAAACA
Molecule: ribosomal RNA, 427 nt
Filed under: uncultured bacterium
Lineage: Bacteria
Description: bacterial SSU rRNA
Rfam family: Bacterial small subunit ribosomal RNA
Source: RNAcentral